RNAcentral lists this ribosomal RNA (253 nucleotides) under uncultured bacterium. Its description in RNAcentral is "partial 16S ribosomal RNA". It matches the Rfam family "Bacterial small subunit ribosomal RNA", at positions 524 to 776 of the family's 1533-position model. The record is from RNAcentral.
UACAGAGGGUGCGAGCGUUAAUCGGAAUUACUGGGCGUAAAGCGCGCGUAGGCGGCUUUGCAAGUCGGGUGUGAAAUCCCCAGGCUUAACCUGGGAACUGCAUUCGAGACUGCAUUGCUAGAGUAUGGGAGAGGGAAGUGGAAUUUCAGGUGUAGCGGUGAAAUGCGUAGAUAUCGGGAGGAACACCGGUGGCGAAGGCGGUUCUCUGGGCCUUACCUGACGCUGAGGAGCGAAAGCGUGGGGAGCGAACAGG